Molecule: ribosomal RNA, 272 nt
Filed under: uncultured Staphylococcus sp.
Lineage: Bacteria; Bacillati; Bacillota; Bacilli; Caryophanales; Staphylococcaceae
Description: partial 16S ribosomal RNA
Rfam family: Bacterial small subunit ribosomal RNA
Source: RNAcentral
CGUUAGCGGCGGACGGGUGAGUAACACGUGGGUGACCUACCUAUAAGACUGGGAUAACUCCGGGAAACCGGGGCUAAUACCGGAUAACACAUGAAACCGCAUGGUUUCAUGAUGAAAGACGGUUUUGCUGUCACUUAUAGAUGGACCCGCGGCGUAUUAGCUAGUUGGUAAGGUAACGGCUUACCAAGGCAACGAUACGUAGCCGACCUGAGAGGGUGAUCGGCCACACUGGAACUGAGACACGGUCCAGACUCCUACGGGAGGCAGCAGCC